This 270-nucleotide ribosomal RNA is filed under the name Triticum aestivum (bread wheat). RNAcentral's name for it is "partial small subunit ribosomal RNA". Lineage: Eukaryota; Viridiplantae; Streptophyta; Magnoliopsida; Poales; Poaceae. The record is from RNAcentral.
AUGCAAGAAACAAUUGGCGACGACUAUGUGCGUCUCCCUGAAGACAUUGUGAUUGCUUAUACCGAGGACAAAGAACCUGUUAACAAGCUCAUCGAAGAUUUCUCCCCAUCCCUGCACACCAAUGCUAUGUCGAGAGAGUAUAUGAGCACACGUGCAAUCCUCUCGACCAAAAACAGGCAUGUGGAUGAUCUAAAUGACAAGAUGAUCUCCAGGUUUCCGGGCGAAGAAAAGGUGUACCACAGCUUUGACUCUAUCGAGGAUGACUUCUAG